RNAcentral lists this transfer RNA (84 nucleotides) under Lawsonibacter asaccharolyticus. RNAcentral's name for it is "tRNA-Leu". It matches the Rfam family "tRNA". From Rfam's summary of the family: Transfer RNA (tRNA) molecules are approximately 80 nucleotides in length. Their secondary structure includes four short double-helical elements and three loops (D, anti-codon, and T loops). The record is from RNAcentral. Lineage: Bacteria; Bacillati; Bacillota; Clostridia; Eubacteriales; Oscillospiraceae.
GCGGGUGUGGUGGAACAGGCAGACACAGCGGUCUUAAAAUCCGCUGGUGGAAACACCAUGAGGGUUCGAUCCCCUUCACCCGCA